Acinonyx jubatus (cheetah) is the source of this 5356-nucleotide long non-coding RNA. RefSeq lists it as uncharacterized. The record is from RefSeq and is a predicted model, not a curated record. The transcript has 4 exons. Lineage: Eukaryota; Metazoa; Chordata; Mammalia; Carnivora; Felidae.
GCGGGGGCGUGGAGGGGGCCGCCCGCGUGGGGUCGGCUGCGGCCCGGCAGAGUUGGCGCGCGAGGGUGUGGAAGCCGAGAGGUGAUCCUGCCGACCGCACCGCGGACGCGUGCGGGACGCUGUCCCCUGUCUACUCCGCGCUCCCAGGUGCCUGUGAUGAAUGACACAUCGAUCAACCCAUAGUCUUCAGACAUUGCCGUGUGAAGCCAAUGAAAGAUAUCUGCUGGUAACCAAAUGAUGAGCUUAUGAAAAGACCGCGGAGACUAUGAGCUAUCCUGGGGUUCCACGUGCCAGAGACAUGAAGAAAGCAGAGCGGUCCCAGAGAAAAGUGACCGUGGAGGAGGAGCUUCCGCCAGAAGCGAGGGAAUAGGAUGUCACACGAAAAGAACCGGGCUGCCCGAGAACGCUUUCCAGGUCAGACGGUUGGCUGCUUCUUCCCUGUAGCUAAAUAAAGGACCAUCUUCAAAGGACGAGAAGGCGAGUCCAUCUGGUCUCCGUGAUUGCACUGGUCAGGGGAGUCCCAGCCAAGUCCCAAGCUUUCGCUAUGUGGACAGUCAGCUCAUACCACCCAGAAUCUACAUCUGGCUGCCAAAUGCACCUUGCUCUGGCCACCCACGUGCACGAGAUCCAAUGAGCAACAGCCUCCGCAUUCUCCUGGCUGAACAAAGAGGGCGAUUGCCACAAGCAGGGCUAUUGUUCAGUUGGCAUUGGCAUCAAAGGCCCAGGCCAGCUCCCCUUUGUCUGUCAGCUGCUAUUCAGAAGGAAAAGAGAAGAAAAGCAAACCAAUAGGUUUCUUGGAGAGAAUCAUCUGUGGACGUGGGACGUUUGCUGUAGUGCUGCGCUAACGUGAUUGUAAUAACAACUUGUAAAGCCUACUUAACAUGGAGAGCCUUACCAGCCCAUAUUCCAAAAUGUCACGGUGCCUGCUUAUAACGGGCAUACUGUUUCCCGGAUUUAGAGCUCUUUAGACUUGAGUCAUCCCUGCCUGCUUCUGUGUGACAAGGUCUGGGCACGGCGUUUUGGAGCACAUUGUCACAGGGAUGGUAACCUUUUUACCCUACGUCAGCAUUAAGAACACGGCGUCUUGCCUUCAGAUAACAUUCUGCAAGAGCCUCUUCCGCAGAAAGCCAGAUUUUUUUUCACCUGGCUCUUUGCCCGUCUCAGGCCACCAACAGCAAUGGGCUCUUGACACCUUCACAUAUGUCAGCUUUUUUUUCUUCUGACUCUUUCGCCCGCACUGGAGGAUGAAGGGUCAGGCAGAUACAGUCCUCCCUGGCAGGCAGGAGUAUUGUUUUGUGUGCGGGUCAAAAAUUUUAUUUGUAUUAUGAGGUCUUCCUGACACGUGGGAAAAGAACAGGUAAUAAAAAUAACGAACGUGCGGUUUCCACCUCUAGGCUUGAAAAAAAUGACAAAACACUGGUGUCCUGUGCACCCAUUCUGAUCGCCUUCCUCUCCCCCCCCCCCCCCCCCCCCGGCUCCUGGGGUCAUUACUCUCCUCCCAUGUUGGUCAUGCCAUGUACUCUGUGGGCUUUUACAAUGAUCCGUACACCAUGUAGGGUUUUACAUGUUUCGAAACUUUGUGUAAGUGGCAUUAGGUUACAGUGCAAUUGAAAAUUAUGCUUUGGACUUGCCCAAGGCGGUACGGAGAGUACUGGUUGAUCUGGCUUUCGCGGCUAUACAGUUAGUAAGAAUAUACUAAGACCCGCUCGUGUGUUUUCCAGGUGAGGGACAUUUAGGCUGCUCCCAGUUGUGUGGUAUAACAUCAAUACACAAAACAUCAAUUAUAUUCUAUAUAGUAGCCAAGAACAAUUCAAAAAUAAAAUUAAGACAUAAUCUUACACACACUUUGUUUUCUUUUUUUUUUUUUAAUUUUUAAAUGUUUUUAUUUCUUUUUGAGACAGAGAAAGACAGAGCAUGAGCAGGGAAGGGGCAGAGAGACAGGGAGACACAGAAUCCAAAGCAGGCUCCAGGCUCUGAGCUGUCAGCACAGAGCCCGACGCGGGGCUCGAACUCACAGACUGUGAGAUCAUGACCUGAGCCGAAGUCAGACGGUCAACCGACAGCCACCCAGGCGCCCCUAAACAUUUUGUUUUCUUUCAAACACUUCUGUACUGAGCAUUCUUAGGCAGGAGUACUUUAUUAACAUUUUUUUAGGACCGCUGGUGUGUGGUGAUAACACAAAGCAGCCAGACUUUUAGUCAGUUUCGUAUUGUUUUUCAAUUUGGAGAGACAAUGCACUGUUGUUGAUCCAAGCACCCAGGGUGGAUCCCACCCAUCAAGGCUCUAGAUUCUCCACUGAUCUCUUGGGCCAUCUUUCCAUCUACUUCCUGACCUGUGCCUGAUCUCUUCAGCGUCUGUUUCCUGAGGUCAACUUGACCUCCAUCUCUGAUUCCUUGUACCAAGUCUCCUUUCCACUGGACUCUGGCUUCCCUUGCUCCUUUGAUUAUACAAUUUCCAGCUAUUCUAGGUGAAAACCUCACACAGUCUCGCCCCGGAUCCUGUUCCUGUGGCUUUGGAUGCUCUUGGCAAGCAUCCCUGCUGGAUUCCUCAGGUCCCAAAAAUAGAGAUAAGAAGGGACACGUAUAGAGUUUUCUCUGAAUCCCUGAUGCGCCUCACAGGGAUUGGUGUGGAGAAAAUGCUCAGUGAUUGAAUGAUUUACUGAAUAAAAGGAGAGGGUAAAAUGGAAUUUGAUAGAUGUGGUAUAGAUUGGGAUUCCGUAAGAUCCUUCUAACAAUACAAGUAGAUUGACUCUCACUGAGUGGAGAAACUUUUAUGGAAACACUAUGGCACGUAGCCAAGUCAUUUAAGAGAGCAUAAUAAAUCUGAUGUUUCCUUUCACCUGACUGCAUUCCUGAAGAAUAUUCAGUGUUCAACACCCACACAUACAUACACACUCAGAGGCAUACACACCAACACUUCCAUUUCCUGAAAAGAUUCAGUGAUAAUCUAUUUUAAGUGCUGCUAAGCAAUUUAAAUAGAAGACUACCAAGUUGUCUUCCGAAGUAAACUGUUAUCGAAGUGUAACAAACAGGGAAUGCACAAAUCAUGAGUGAGUCAAGUGAAUAGGCAUAAACUAAACUCACCUGGUAAUCAUAUCCCGGAACAUACCAUCUCCCAAAACCCCAUUCGUGCUUCAUCUCAGUCACUACAUGAUCUCCCUGAAGGUAACCACCAUUCUGAUUUCCAGCACUGCUAGAUUAGUUUCGCCUUGUUUAGAACUUUACGCAAAGAGAAUCAUACAGCAUCUACUCUUUGCUGUCUGACUCCCUUUGUCCAACAGUAAGUUCGUGAGAUGUAUCCAACUCACCUGUAUUAGUCACAGGACUAAUUCAUUUUCAUUGCUAUCUAGUAUUCCAUUGCAUGAAUGUAUCACAAUUUGUUCAUAUUACUGUUGAUGGGCAUUUGGGUCGUUUCCAGUUUUUAACUGGAAUGAAUGGGGUUGCAGUAAGCAUUUGAGUCUAUGUUUUUUUGCGGGUGCACAUGUGCACACACUUCUUUUGGGCAAACACUGAGGAGUCAAGUCGCAGGUACGACAGGUGUGCAUAUGUUGAGUUUUCAUGUUGCCGCGCAGUGCCUGUACAUUUUACACUAAUGUCAGCAGGGUCUGCUAACUCCAGAAGCUCCUCGCCCGCACGGGCAUUUUCUGUCUGGGGCACAAAGUGAAAACUCUGUGCCCUGUCUUCCAAGUGGUAGUUCCUUAGAGAUCCCAAAUCCCAUUUUCUUCUGAUUCUACCUCUUUCCUGAUCUUUCCGUUUCUGUUGCUGACUCCUUUUCCUUUGCCCACUCUUUUUACAUGUAACCUUUUCCCUAAGAUCCUAUCUUCUUCCUUUUUGCUUUCUUAUUCUAUUUAUCCUACACAAUCCAUUCAUUCAUUCCUUCAGCAGAUAGUGAGUCCCCACUACAUGCUGGGGACUGUGUUAGCUGAUGAGCAAAACACACAAGGUCCCUGCCCCUAAUUCUAUGGGAAGGGAAGCAUUUAACAGUUAAUUCUCAUGCAUGACUUUAUAAUCACACAUAACAAUCACCGACAUGAGGGAAAAGAAAUGGGUGCCAUGAGAGUAACUUGGGGAUUUGAUUUGGACUGGAAAGUUCAGGAAAAGCCCCUUUGAUUAAUCUCAGGCAGAAAGUUGAGUAGAAGGCAAAGGAAUGGGUGUAGGGGAGAGAAAAGAUGCACAUGUGUGAAGGCUCAGAGGGAGGAAAGUGUGUGGAACAGUCAGAGACGGUGAAAGGCCAGUUUCGGAGCUUGAGGAGCAAAGUGGCUUGCUGUAAGUCUAGACAGGGAGGCAGAACACAGAACAUGUGGAGCCUUGGAGGCCAUGUCAAGCGUUUUGUACAAUGGGAAAUCACUGAAGAGAUACAGAGUCAGUUGUCUGCAGGACCUGAUGGGCUUUGUCAGACCUCUCAGGCUGCCGUGUGGGGAUGGGAUUGGAAAGAAGCAUGAGUGGAAGCGGGCGGACCAGUUGGAAGGUUAUUGCAGCUCUCCAGAGAAGAGAUAAUGAUGGCUAGGAGCUGGGCAGUAGAGUGGAGAUGGUGAGAAGUAGACACUGGGGAAAGGACAGAGAAGUAUGGGCAAGAUCUGGUUCCCCAUCUCCAGCAGGAGUUGGUAGAGCCGUUUCCCAGAUUUCUGACUUGAGCAACUGAAUGAAUGGAGGAGCCAUUCUUCUGGUUGAGGGAGACUAGAGGUGAUAUGGAUUUGGAUAUGUGGGGGUGGGGAAUCACAAGUUUUAAGUAUGUAACAGUUUAUUAUACCUCUGAGACACACACAGGUGGACAGGCUUUAUGGACAGUUUGGUGCUGAGAUAUUUCACUCUCAAAAAUUUGGUUUGCCCCAGCACCCUCCACUCAUGCAAGGUGAGGCAUCCCAUUGUUCAGGGGAGGGCAGACAUAGUUAAGAAAAAGGUGGUAAAGAUUAGCCUUGCUUUUAAAAUGUAUCACCUAGCAGAAUAAUUAAUGAUAAUAAUAAUAAAAAGCUGUUGGAAAUUCUGCCAUUUGUUACAACGUGGAAGGACCUUGAGGGUGUUAGGCUAAGUGAAAUAAGUCAGGCAGAAAGACAAAUACUGUGUGAUCUCACUUAUACAUGGAACCUAAAAACAGCAACAACAACAAAACAACAACAUACUCACAGACCUAGAGAACAGAUUGGUGGUUGCCAGAGGUGGGGAGGAGGGGAUGCUGGAGGUGGGCAAAAUAGGUACAGAUGGUCGAAAGUACAAACUUCCAUUUAUGAGAUGAAAUAAGUCCUAGAAAAGGGGCACUGGGUAGCUCAGUGACUUCAGAUAAGAAAGAGCAUUACUUCUCAUGAUCUCAUAGUUAGUGAGUUCAGGCCCCACGUCGGGCUCUGUGCUGACAGUCAGAG